This 192-nucleotide ribosomal RNA is filed under the name uncultured bacterium. RNAcentral describes it as "partial 16S ribosomal RNA". It matches the Rfam family "Bacterial small subunit ribosomal RNA", at positions 521 to 712 of the family's 1533-position model. The record is from RNAcentral.
UAAGACGUAGGGGGCCAGCGUUGUUCGGAAUUACUGGGUGUAAAGGGUUCGUAGGCGGUGCGGCAAGUUGGGAGUGAAAUCUCUGGGCUUAACCCAGAGGCUGCUUCCAAAACUGCUGUGCUUGAGUGUGGGAGAGGCGCGUGGAAUUGCAGGUGUAGCGGUGAAAUGCGUAGAUAUCUGCAGGAACACCCG